RNAcentral lists this unclassified non-coding RNA (842 nucleotides) under uncultured bacterium. RNAcentral's name for it is "partial contains 16S-23S ribosomal RNA intergenic spacer; may also contain 16S ribosomal RNA and 23S ribosomal RNA". The stretch from base 162 to 235 matches the Rfam family "tRNA". The record is from RNAcentral.
CACUAUCGGAUCGUUUUAGAAACAUCAGUGGCCAACGGUCGUCAGGAUCGUUGAGCUGCAUUGGCGGGAUUUCGCCGUCUACGUUUCUCUUUCUUCGCGGACGAACACGCGCUGGGCCUGCAUGCGCAGGAUCCCAUGGUCCUUAACGGGAUAUGCGUUAGGGGCUUGUAGCUCAGUUGGUUAGAGCGCGCGCUUGAUAAGCGUGAGGUCGGAAGUUCAAGUCUUCCCAGGCCCACCACACUCAUCGAGUGAGCAUUCGUCUUCUGGUUACGGGGCCAUAGCUCAGCUGGGAGAGCGCGUGCUUUGCAAGCAUGAGGUCGUCGGUUCGAUCCCGUCUGGCUCCACCAGAUGGUUUGAUCACCGAGAUCUUGUACCGUCGUCCGCGAAACAUCACUUCGCAUCCUGCUAGUCUGGAUAGACAGCAAGUUGCGUGAUUUCUGACAUCGUAAAGAGGAGAUCGAUCCGAGUUGGAUCGGGCAACAAGUAAUUGUUGCGCGAUACUUCAUUAUCUCCGGAUCAUUUCGGCGCUCACGCGUCUUUCAAGGUAGCUCACAAGGUUGCAUUUGAGAGACAUGCGAGUUGUAAAUGAUCCUUUUAGCGAAGCUUGACCGCCUCGCUAUCGGAACGAUCUUACGAAGCAAGCUGGUCUUUCUAAUCAUUGUCCGGCUGUGAGAAUAGCGUUCAUCGAGGGCGCGUGCCGCAAGGUAGUUCUUACAGACAACAUUCUGCCGAGUGUGUGGACAUUGAUAAUGAGAGCAAUCAAGUGCCUUAAGGGUGUUCGGUGGAUGCCUUGGCGCUGAGAGGCGAUGAAGGACGUGCUACGCUGCGAUAAGCCGUGGGGA